Mugil cephalus (flathead mullet) is the source of this 1831-nucleotide long non-coding RNA. RefSeq lists it as uncharacterized. The transcript is spliced from 3 exons. The record is from RefSeq and is a predicted model, not a curated record. Lineage: Eukaryota; Metazoa; Chordata; Actinopteri; Mugiliformes; Mugilidae.
UUUCCCGGUGGGCAGGUCAAUAAUGGGCCGGUGGCUGCAGUUUUUUUAUUUAUUUAUUUUUUAUUUGUUUAUUUAGUUUUUGCUGCGCCUUGCCAUGGUUACUCUUCCGGUCCAGGGGCAGAGACAUGCACCGGCCCACAGAACUCCGCUGCAGCCUACUACAACAAAAUGGACAAUGCGGCCAAAAAGCGAAAAGGCGGAGUGGAAAAGCAAAGAGAGAGAGAAAAAAGAAAAGCUCUAGCAACCGACGCUGCUACGAGCAAAAAAAAAUUCAGAAAUGUUUGCUGCGGGGGCAAGCGUGGCCGGAGCGGCUUCAGGAGUGGGUCCUUCUCAGCAGCAGGUGUCGGACAGUGAGUCAAGUGAGGCUCCCGCUGCCAUGGUGGUGCACAGUCACGGGCUGACAGGCCCAGAGAGCCCUGACAGAGUUGUCAAUCGAUCACGACACAUACCAUGGUGGGGCGGGACCUCAUGGCAUGGGCGGGAGUCGCGGGACAGGCAGCUGCUGCGCCGGGAGACGUGCGAGUGGAGGCAUACAUGCCUGUACUAAGCAGGGUGGAUCGGCCUCUUUGAGCAGCUCCUGGGUGUAGGCCAUGAGUCCUGCGUGCUCCAGCAGGCCCUGCCUUUCGAAGACCUGCCUGGACAACGCCUUCUCUCUCCUGCUGCGGGAUAGGGUGAUGAAUUAGGUGAGGAGUGGAGCGUGCUGGCUGCGGACGAGGAAGUAGGACAAUACAUACAUGUGCACAUACACGCAUAUGAGAAUGCAUAUCAUUUCAGACCCGUAAUUCAUGGCUUAUACUUUUUCACACAUCUAUAGAUUUUUUUUCAAUUCUCUAUUUAUGGUUUCAUAAUAACUGAGUCACUGUUAAAACAAUUCUUUCCUUCUUCACAUUGCACAGGUGAAGCACUUGACAGCUGCAGACGUUGGCUAGUGCUGUUACAACACCGAGGAGGAGUGGAUUGGGUUUACCAUUAGUCAUGAUAGUUGUGCUUUCAUUCUCCGAUCCCCCACCACACUUUGAUGGAAAAAUAAGAAAAUACAGAUAAAUAUACAAUUGCACACAUAACAUUUUGUGACCAGAGUGUGAUCAUAUUGUUGUCUGAUCCCGCACAGAGCUACAUAUGUGCGGAAAAGAAGUGGAAACAAUAGUUUCUGUUCUUUAACUUCGACCUGAGCGAAAGACGGUGAGAAACUCAUCUAAGAGCCUCUAUCAGGCAUUGCCACCUACAUCCGCCUAGAUUUACCUGGGCCAAAACAUCUCUAAAAUUGUUCAGGUUCACCUUUUCUCAUCAGAUUUUACAUUAAUAAUUCAUAUUUGAAUUGGGCUUUUAUCCUACAUAUCAGAGGUGUUUUUUACUCUAAAUAAUGUGCUGUUGUUUUCUUGUUUUGUUUUGUUUUUAGGUGAGAACUGAAAUUUAUAUUUUUUACUUUGUUCCAGGUGAAUUUUCUCUGACACAGUAACAUAUCUUUAUUCUGACACUAAGCAAUCUCAUUAUGACAUUAUUAUUCAUACAGCCCUUAGAGUUGUGAAGAUAUAACCCAUUUAUUAUUAUAUGUCUGUUUGUGAAUUUAAUAUUCCCCAUGCAUGUGUUCAUGCACUUUAUUUUAUUUUCCUUGCGAUGUUGAGAAAUAAUGUCACAUAUGUUUAUCGUUCACAUCUCAUCUUCUAGUAGAGACUCCCUCUUGUGGAGAAUGUAAGUAUUACCAAUCAAGCAAUUUUCAUAUUCAUAAUACACAGGACGAGAUGUUACAAUCUCUUGUGCCAUGAUCUAAGGCAAAACUCCUUUAGAAGCCCAGUCCAACUGUAGAACCAACCAGCAGACCAGUGGUCAG